GCUGGCCGGCGUGCUAAUACAUGCAGUCGAGCGAAUGGAUUAAGAGCUUGCUCUUAUGAAGUUAGCGGCGGACGGGUGAGUAACACGUGGGUAACCUGCCCAUAAGACUGGGAUAACUCCGGGAAACCGGGGCUAAUACCGGAUAACAUUUUGAACCGCAUGGUUCGAAAUUGAAAGGCGGCUUCGGCUGUCACUUAUGGAUGGACCCGCGUCGCAUUAGCUAGUUGGUGAGGUAACGGCUCACCAAGGCAACGAUGCGUAGCCGACCUGAGAGGGUGAUCGGCCACACUGGGACUGAGACACGGCCCAGACUCCUACGGGAGGCAGCAGUAGGGAAUCUUCCGCAAUGGACGAAAGUCUGACGGAGCAACGCCGCGUGAGUGAUGAAGGCUUUCGGGUCGUAAAACUCUGUUGUUAGGGAAGAACAAGUGCUAGUUGAAUAAGCUGGCACCUUGACGGUACCUAACCAGAAAGCCACGGCUAACUACGUGCCAGCAGCCGCGGUAAUACGUAGGUGGCAAGCGUUAUCCGGAAUUAUUGGGCGUAAAGCGCGCGCAGGUGGUUUCUUAAGUCUGAUGUGAAAGCCCACGGCUCAACC
RNAcentral lists this ribosomal RNA (598 nucleotides) under Bacillus toyonensis. RNAcentral describes it as "bacterial SSU rRNA". It matches the Rfam family "Bacterial small subunit ribosomal RNA", at positions 35 to 614 of the family's 1533-position model. The record is from RNAcentral. Lineage: Bacteria; Bacillati; Bacillota; Bacilli; Caryophanales; Bacillaceae.